Long non-coding RNA from Pseudomyrmex gracilis, 450 nucleotides. RefSeq lists it as uncharacterized. The record is from RefSeq and is a predicted model, not a curated record. Lineage: Eukaryota; Metazoa; Arthropoda; Insecta; Hymenoptera; Formicidae. The transcript is spliced from 2 exons.
UUUUGCCUCUCUCUCCGUUCUGCCAAACCCAACGAAUAUCAUUAAGAAAUAUACGACAUGCUGGAUCUAGGUAUAUAUGUCUAUGAAGCUUCAUCUGUUUUCGACAACGCUCCCUCGUUUAUUUCCAUGAAGUUUUAAGAAACGCACAUGAAUCUGCGAAAGAUGAACAGAUGUCUUAUACAAGUAAAAUAUGGUUGGCACAUGCCCGGGAACGCAUCUAUCGAGAGGAAGAAAAGAAAAGAAAAGAUCAAGAUACAGAAGGGAAACAAUGAUUCCUUUCUGUAACAAUCCACUCUCCAGAAAUUUUUUGAUGCUAAGAUUAGGACUAGAUUUGCAUGAUUACAGUGAUUGUUACGUAUUUGAACUAAUUAUCUUUGGAUAAAGAUCAUUACAUAAAAAAAAGGUAGCAAAGUGCGUUUCAAUAUGAAAUACAUAUAUGUUACAGUAGAA